RNAcentral lists this ribosomal RNA (494 nucleotides) under uncultured bacterium. Its description in RNAcentral is "partial 16S ribosomal RNA". It matches the Rfam family "Bacterial small subunit ribosomal RNA", at positions 28 to 507 of the family's 1533-position model. The record is from RNAcentral.
GACGAACGCUGGCGGCGUGCUUAACACAUGCAAGUCGAACGGAAAGGCCUGCUUUCCCUUGUGGAUUGCGGGUGCUCGAGUGGCGAACGGGUGAGUAACACGUGAGUGAUCUGCCCCCAACUUGGGUAUAAGCCUGGGAAACUGGGUCUAAUUCCCGAUAGGACUGCAGGGUGGUGCCUGUGGUGGAAAACGAUUUUCUAGUGGUUGGGGAUGAGCUCGCGGCCUAUCAGCUUGUUGGUGGGGUAAUGGCCUACCAAGGCGGCGACGGGUAGCCGGCCUGAGAGGGUGGACGGCCACAUUGGGACUGAGAUACGGCCCAGACUCCUACGGGAGGCAGCAGUGGGGAAUAUUGCAGAAUGGGCGGAAGCCUGAUGCAGCGACGCCGCGUGGGGGAUGACGGCCUUCGGGUUGUAAACUCCUUUCGACCGCGAGGAAGCCACCUGGUUGGAAGGGUGGUGACGGUAGUGGUAGAAGAAGCACCGGCUAACUACGUG